AUUUAUAUAGUUUAUAUAAAACAAGUUAUUUUCAAUAACUAGAAAGAUUAUUUUUUUAUAAAUU
This 64-nucleotide transfer RNA is filed under the name Perkinsiella saccharicida. RNAcentral describes it as "tRNA-Glu". Lineage: Eukaryota; Metazoa; Arthropoda; Insecta; Hemiptera; Delphacidae. The record is from RNAcentral.